AAGAAAGAAAAGAAAAGAGAAGAAAAGAUGGGAGUAGUGAAUUACCUACAUUUGUUCUGCAUCUGAACAGCGCUAUGUAUGCCAUGUACCUCUCCUGCUUUGUUUAAUUUUGGUGCAUCCUUUCUUCUCAAUUGUG
This 136-nucleotide non-coding RNA is filed under the name Heterosigma akashiwo. The record is from RNAcentral. Lineage: Eukaryota; Raphidophyceae; Chattonellales; Chattonellaceae.